CCUACGGGAGGCAGCAGUGAGGAAUAUUGGUCAAUGGACGAGAGUCUGAACCAGCCAAGUAGCGUGAAGGAUGACUGCCCUAUGGGUUGUAAACUUCUUUUAUAUGGGAAUAAAACGUUCCACGUGUGUGAUUUUGUAUGUACCAUAUGAAUAAGGAUCGGCUAACUCCGUGCCAGCAGCCGCGGUAAUACGGAGGAUCCGAGCGUUAUCCGGAUUUAUUGGGUGUAAAGGGAGCGUAGGUGGAUUGUUAAGUCAGUUGUGAAAGUUUGCGGCUCAACCGUAAAAGUGCAGUUGAAACUGGCAGUCUUGAGUACAGUAGAGGUGGGCGGAAUUCGUGGUGUAGCGGUGAAAUGCUUAGAUAUCACGAAGAACUCCGAUUGCGAAGGCAGUUCACUGGACUGCAACUGACACUGAGGCUCGAAAGUGUGGGUAUCAAACAGGAUUAGAUACCCUAGUAGUC
Molecule: ribosomal RNA, 460 nt
Filed under: uncultured bacterium
Lineage: Bacteria
Description: partial 16S ribosomal RNA
Rfam family: Bacterial small subunit ribosomal RNA
Source: RNAcentral